CCGAGCCUUUUUUUCAGGCUAAACAUUCUCUCUACAAUUCCCUGAAAGGAUGUUGAAGCCAGUCUUUUAAUUGAUGUCACUUCAAACAACAAAGGAAGCAACAACAACAAGAUGUGGGAGAAAAACUGAAGUGAUCAUCAUGAAGGACCUAUUGCUGAGGACAAAGUCCAAAAUGCAAGUUCUGGUCUGCAAUAUGACAUGGAAAUUUAAAGCUUUCAAGCAGUAUCCACACCAAGCUACCACAAUUCACUGCUUCUAGUGCCAGUACAGGUGGACAACUCUGCCUCCCAGACACAGCAGGAACCAAGAUAUAUCCUAAAGUUCAAGGAUUUACAAGAGUCAUCCUACUGGAUCUCAAGUAAAUAAUGAAGGCUCAUAAAAGACAUCCAAGACAAAGCUCUGCAGAUUCACCUCUUCAUUGGUAUUUUAUAGCAUGUGUUGUGUUGCCAGUGUGAGCACUUUCUUAUUUAAGCAAAAGAAAAUUAUUCAAAGUGUGCCUUUGGUUGGUCCUUCCCAGCAAAAAGGGACAAAAAAAAAAGAGAGAAAAGAUAAUACAAAUACAACUGCAGCUGAAAAACGGAACAAUGUGGUCCUGCUGCUGCUCUAAACUUGAGUUGUGAAUGAGAGAAAUACAGCUGUAAUAAAGAGUAGAUAUAGUCUCCUAAGCCAAACAACCAAACUUCAUUCAAA
This is a long non-coding RNA of Passer domesticus (house sparrow), 690 nucleotides long. RefSeq lists it as uncharacterized. Lineage: Eukaryota; Metazoa; Chordata; Aves; Passeriformes; Passeridae. The transcript has 4 exons. The record is from RefSeq and is a predicted model, not a curated record.